RNAcentral lists this ribosomal RNA (500 nucleotides) under uncultured bacterium. RNAcentral's name for it is "partial 16S ribosomal RNA". It matches the Rfam family "Bacterial small subunit ribosomal RNA", at positions 30 to 523 of the family's 1533-position model. The record is from RNAcentral.
AUUGAACGCUGGCGGCAUGCCUUACACAUGCAAGUCGAACGGCAGCACGGGAGCAAUCCUGGUGGCGAGUGGCGAACGGGUGAGUAAAGUAUCGGAAAGUGCCCAGUCGUGGGGGAGAACGUAGAGAAAGUUACGCUACUACCGCAUACGAUCUAUGGAGGAAAGCGGGGGAUAGCAAGACCUAGCGCGAUAGAAGCGGCCGAUAUUAGAUUAGGUAGUUGGUGGGGUAAAGGCUCACCAAGCCGACGAUCUGUAGCUGGUCUGAGAGGACGACCAGCCACACUGGGACUGAGACACGGCCCAUACUCCUACGGGAGGCAUCAGUGGGGAAUUUUGGACAAUGGGCGAAAGCCUGAUCCAGCCAUGCCGCGUGCAGGAUGAAGGCCUUCGGGUUGUAAACUGCUUUUGUACGGAACGAAAAGGUUUGGCCUAAUAAGCUGAGCUCAUGACGGUACCGUAAGAAUAAGCACCGGCUAACUACGUGCCAGCCGCCGCCGUAA